GAAAUGCAAUAAGUAAUGUGAAUUGCAGAAUUCAGUGAAUCAUCGAAUCUUUGAACGCACCUUGCGCUCCUUGGUAUUCCUUGGAGCAUGCCUGUUUGAGUAUCAUGAAAUCUUCAAAGUAAAUCUUUUGUUAACUCAAUUGGUUUCUACUUUGGUAUUGGAGGUCUUUGCAGCUUCACACCUGCUCCUCUUUGUUCAUUAGCUGGAUCUCAGUGUUAUGCUUGGUUCCACUCGGCGUGAUAAGUUAUCUAUCGCUGAGGACACUGUAAAAGGUGGCCAAGGUAAAUGCAGAUGAACCGCUUCUAAUAGUCCAUUGACUUGGACAAUACUUUUAUGAUCUGAUCUCAAAUCAGGUAUGACUACCCGCUGAACUUAAGC
Molecule: unclassified non-coding RNA, 378 nt
Filed under: plant metagenome
Description: partial contains 5.8S ribosomal RNA, internal transcribed spacer 2, and large subunit ribosomal RNA
Rfam family: 5.8S ribosomal RNA (bases 1-105)
Source: RNAcentral